Non-coding RNA from Caenorhabditis elegans, 21 nucleotides. Lineage: Eukaryota; Metazoa; Nematoda; Chromadorea; Rhabditida; Rhabditidae. The record is from Ensembl.
UAUUACUUGAAUAAUUGCAUU